This 537-nucleotide ribosomal RNA is filed under the name Triticum aestivum (bread wheat). RNAcentral's name for it is "partial small subunit ribosomal RNA". The record is from RNAcentral. Lineage: Eukaryota; Viridiplantae; Streptophyta; Magnoliopsida; Poales; Poaceae.
AUGCCGACCCACAAAUUCUCGCGUCGCGAAGGUCUUCUUCAUGUCAGGAUGAGACAGAUAAACCAUCCAGUGACCAUGGAUGUGCUUCGCCAGUUGUUUCAUCGCUCGGGUUCCGGAGAAUUGCUAUGUGCGUUUGAGAGAACUGUAGAUGGGGAGUACUGUGUGGAGGCCUAUGUCCUGUUCCGCUCUCGAUGGAUGGCGGACAGGGCUCGUGCUGCUCUCGACGGCCACGGCGUCUACGAGGGGUGUUGCUUCCUCACCAUCCACCUUCUACCACCGACCUACACCGCCAUCACCAUGCCGGAUGACGACGGGAUGGCGCCUGAGUACUUCUACGACGACACGCCGUACGCGGAGUGGGCUGCAGCCUUGGCCGCGGCCGAGUGCCACGGCGAGGUCGACACGGCGACCCUGCUCAUGGCGGACGUGAGGCGGACUGAUUCAGCAAGUGUGGAGUCCUCUCCGCCCCAGCUCCGGGCAUUCCCCACCCCUGGCCAUGACGCCGCCUUCGCCAGCAAAUUGCCAGUGGUCGCUUGA